AUCAGCAAUGACCUCGCGCGGUUGGAUGGACCGAUGUUCGAUUAGCUAGUUGGUGAGGUAAUGGCUCACCAAGGCGACGAUCGAUAGCUGGUCUGAGAGGAUGAUCAGCCACACUGGGACUGAGACACGGCCCAGACUCCUACGGGAGGCAGCAGUGGGGAAUAUUGGACAAUGGGCGCAAGCCUGAUCCAGCAAUGCCGCGUGUGUGAAGAAGGCCUUCGGGUUGUAAAGCACUUUUAUCAGGAGCGAAAUACCACGGGUUAAUACCCUAUGGGGCUGACGGUACCUGAGGAAUAAGCACCGGCUAACUUCGUGCCAGCAGCCGCGGUAAUACGAAGGGUGCAAGCGUUAAUCGGAAUUACUGGGCGUAAAGCGUGCGUAGGCGGUUGUUUAAGUCUGCUGUGAAAUCCCCGGGCUCAACCUGGGAAUGGCAGUGGAUACUGGACAGCUAGAGUGUGAUAGAGGAUGGUGGAAUUCCCGGUGUAGCGGUGAAAUGCGUAGAGAUCGGGAGGAACAUCAGUGGCGAAGGCGGCCAU
Molecule: ribosomal RNA, 536 nt
Filed under: Dyella sp.
Lineage: Bacteria; Pseudomonadati; Pseudomonadota; Gammaproteobacteria; Lysobacterales; Rhodanobacteraceae
Description: bacterial SSU rRNA
Rfam family: Bacterial small subunit ribosomal RNA
Source: RNAcentral